UAAAUGUACCUGUACCUAAUAUUUUUUUUGUUGUAUUUGUGAACCAGGUGUUCCAGGUGACAUAAAAAUGAAGAUAUCCAUUGGUCUAAGGAAGUCAUGAGGGGAAGGAGGCUGAUGGUCGCCCGGAGACUCCGCACCUACGGAGAGUGACGUCCUGCUGCAGUGCCGCUGCCUACCUACGCUGACUGAGCUUGUCAAUGGAGCUGGAAAACAUCGUUGCCAACACCGUCUUGCUGAAAGCCAGGGAAGCUUGCCUUUGCAGGAUGAUCACAGAAGAGAUUUGUGCAUGUCCUUAUUGGCAAAAGACUAGCAAUAAAUCCUAAACAAGAAGCAUGGUUGCUUUCCAAGAACUUGGCUGUAGAACAACUGGAAAAAGGGCACUAGAACAAUGAAGAGCAUAUUUGAAGGAAAGAAGGUGACUAUAGCGACAGCCAAAACCCCAUGGAGAAUAUGAUUAUUGCAGCUUGACUUUGGCAACUUUAUAAACCACUGCUUCUGAAUGUAGAAUCUAAAGUCCUGUCCUGUAUCCCUUGAUAUAAAAGCAAAGUGCUUUGUAAGGAAAACAUUGUCUCUAUAAGCAGAGGAAAUUCGCACGCAGUGACUCAGUUUAGUUUUCUUUUCUGAGCUCAAGAGGAGCUCUCACCACUGAAAUAGCCCCCCCCCCCCAAAAAAAAUCCAAGAAUGGAAUCAGCUAUUACUUCAAAUGAAACAGGGUGCUUUCAAACUCUAGUUUAAAAAUGGGAUUCCUUUUCAAGCAUGUAAUCAUUUCUUUUUUGGGGGGGAAAAAAAAGUCCUAGAGAGUUCUGAAUAUUUCAUGACAGUCUAAUAGAGGAAAUUUGGGAAACUGGAGUCUUCAGGCCUUUGCGAAAAGAACACGUAAAUCUGCAUGACAUAAAGAUCUCCUUUUAUUAUGCAGAAGGAACUUAUUUCUGUAGCCAUCCAUACCUGAGCAGUGACAAGUGUGUGUGGGGCGAACUCUUUUUAAAUCCCCCCCUUUAAAAACAAAAAAAAACAAAAAACCAACACUUAUAUAGUAGGGCUGCUGCAGAGCAAGUUAGAGCAGCUGUAGCUGUGCCUGUCAUGGGCACUCUGUUCCUCGUCUGGGGUUCUCCCUGGGGCCAACCGCACCAGUUUAUGGUCCUAGGCAGCAGGUCUUGGGAUAUGGCAACGCUGGGGAAGCCAAGAGCUCUUC
RNAcentral lists this long non-coding RNA (1192 nucleotides) under Apteryx rowi (Okarito brown kiwi). RNAcentral describes it as "lncRNA (ENSARWG00000008995.1)". The record is from RNAcentral. Lineage: Eukaryota; Metazoa; Chordata; Aves; Apterygiformes; Apterygidae.